GUUGGGUAGGGGAGCGUUCUGUAAGCCUGCGAAGGUGUACUGUGAGGUAUGCUGGAGGUAUCAGAAGUGCGAAUGCUGACAUAAGUAACGAUAAUGCGGGUGAAAAACCCGCACGCCGGAAGACCAAGGGUUCCUGUCCAACGUUAAUCGGGGCAGGGUGAGUCGACCCCUAAGGCGAGGCUGAAAAGCGUAGUCGAUGGGAAACGGGUUAAUAUUCCCGUACUGGUGGUAACUGCGAUGGGGGAACGGAGAAGGCUAGGUUGUCCGGGCGACGGUCGUCCCGGUUCAAGCAGGUAGGCAGAGUGAUUAGGCAAAUCCGGUCACUUAAUGCUGAGAUGUGAUGACGAACCACCAAGGUGGUGAAGCAAUUGAUGCCCCGCUUCCAGGAAAAGCCUCUAAGCUUCAGGUUACCAACAAUCGUACCCCAAACCGACACAGGUGGUCAGGUAGAGAAUACUCAGGCGCUUGAGAGAACUCGGGUGAAGGAACUAGGCAAAAUGGUGCCGUAACUUCGGGAGAAGGCACGCUGGCGGUAGGUAAAGUCCCUCGCGGACAGAGCUGAAGCCAGUCGAAGAUACCAGCUGGCUGCAACUGUUUAUUAAAAACACAGCACUGUGCAAACACGAAAGUGGACGUAUACGGUGUGACGCCUGCCCGGUGCUGGAAGGUUAAUUGAUGGGGUCAGCCGUAAGGCGAAGCUCCUGAUCGAAGCCCCAGUAAACGGCGGCCGUAACUAUAACGGUCCUAAGGUAGCGAAAUUCCUUGUCGGGUAAGUUCCGACCUGCACGAAUGGCGUAAUGAUGGCCAGGCUGUCUCCACCCGAGACUCAGUGAAAUUGAACUCGCUGUGAAGAUGCAGUGUACCCGCGGCAAGACGGAAAGACCCCGUGAACCUUUACUAUAGCUUGACACUGAACAUUGAGCCUUGAUGUGUAGGAUAGGUGGGAGGCUUUGAAGUGUGGACGCCAGUCUGCAUGGAGCCAACCUUGAAAUACCACCCUUUAACGUUUGAUGUUCUAACCUAGGCCCAUAAACUGGGUCGGGGACCGUGUCUGGUGGGUAGUUUGACUGGGGCGGUCUCCUCCUAAAGAGUAACGGAGGAGCACGAAGGUUGGCUAAGCAUGGUCGGACAUCAUGCGGUUAGUGCAAAGGCAUAAGCCAGCUUGACUGCGAGAGUGACGGCUCGAGCAGGUACGAAAGUAGGUCUUAGUGAUCCGGUGGUUCUGAAUGGAAGGGCCAUCGCUCAACGGAUAAAAGGUACUCCGGGGAUAACAGGCUGAUACCGCCCAAGAGUUCAUAUCGACGGCGGUGUUUGGCACCUCGAUGUCGGCUCAUCACAUCCUGGGGCUGAAGUAGGUCCCAAGGGUAUGGCUGUUCGCCAUUUAAAGUGGUACGCGAGCUGGGUUUAGAACGUCGUGAGACAGUUCGGUCCCUAUCUGCCGUGGGCGUUGGAAGAUUGAGAGGGGUUGCUCCUAGUACGAGAGGACCGGAGUGAACGCACCACUGGUGUUCGGGUUGUCAUGCCAAUGGCAUUGCCCGGUAGCUAAGUGCGGAAGAGAUAACCGCUGAAAGCAUCUAAGCGGGAAACUUGCCUCGAGAUGAGUCUUCCCUGUCGCUUUAAGCGACCUAAAGGAACGUUUAAGACUAAGACGUUGAUAGGCUGGGUGUGUAAGCGUAG
This 1677-nucleotide ribosomal RNA is filed under the name Proteus mirabilis. RNAcentral describes it as "partial 23S ribosomal RNA". It matches the Rfam family "Bacterial large subunit ribosomal RNA", at positions 1223 to 2878 of the family's 2925-position model. Lineage: Bacteria; Pseudomonadati; Pseudomonadota; Gammaproteobacteria; Enterobacterales; Morganellaceae. The record is from RNAcentral.